This 88-nucleotide transfer RNA is filed under the name Betaproteobacteria bacterium. RNAcentral describes it as "tRNA-Tyr". It matches the Rfam family "tRNA". Rfam says of the family: Transfer RNA (tRNA) molecules are approximately 80 nucleotides in length. Their secondary structure includes four short double-helical elements and three loops (D, anti-codon, and T loops). The record is from RNAcentral. Lineage: Bacteria; Pseudomonadati; Pseudomonadota; Betaproteobacteria.
GGAUGGUUGGCCGAGCGAUCGAAGGCGCCUGCCUGUAAAGCAGGAUCCCGAAAGGACAACGGUGGUUUGAAUCCAUCACCAUCCACCA